Molecule: ribosomal RNA, 497 nt
Filed under: uncultured bacterium
Lineage: Bacteria
Description: partial 16S ribosomal RNA
Rfam family: Bacterial small subunit ribosomal RNA
Source: RNAcentral
GAUGAACGCUGGCGGCGUGCCUAAUACAUGCAAGUCGAGCGAAGGGACGAGAAGCUUGCUUCUCUGAUGUUAGCGGCGGACGGGUGAGUAACACGUGGAUAACCUACCUAUAAGACUGGGAUAACUUCGGGAAACCGGAGCUAAUACCGGAUAAUAUUAUGAACCGCAUGGUUCAAAAGUGAAAGACGGUCUUGCUGUCACUUAUAGAUGGAUCCGCGCUGCAUUAGCUAGUUGGUAAGGUAACGGCUUACCAAGGCAACGAAGCAUAGCCGACCUGAGAGGGAGGUCGGCUAGACUGGAAGUGAGACACGGUCCAGACUCCUACGGUGGGAAGCAGUAGGGAAUCUUCCGCAAUGGGCGAAAGCCUGACGGAGCAACGCCGCGGGAGUGAUGAAGGUCUUCGGAUCGUAAAACUCUGUUAUUAGGGAAGAACAUAUGUGUAAGUAACUGUGCACAUCUUGACGGUACCUAAUCAGAAAGCCACGGCUAACUACGUG